GCUUGCUAUCCAUGUGCCAGAGCCAUGAGUUGGUUGCGAGAUCUUAUGGGUUUCACCUCUAGCCUACCCCAACUUGUUUGGGACUAAAGGCUUUGUUGUUGUUGUUGUUGUUGUUGUAUGUCAUCUCUCACAUGGCUAUGUGGUCUCCCCGGUUUUGUCUUUACAUUAUAUCUAUGUUGUACUACUGCUACCUCCCGCGCUACAGAAAGUAUUUUUUAUAUCAGCUUUGCUCUCGUGUGUGCAAGGAUUCCAUUCAGGCGUUCAAGACCUAGCAGGGCUUGGCCAACCGGCCCUUCGUGUUUGAAGAUCCCUGACACCCCAUGCUACCAGCCGGGCAUCUUCUUCCUGAGCCAUGUCCGGAACCAGACCAGCAGGGGCACCAUGAGCGAGUACUCAAGGCAUGUCGUCAGGUCGGAGGGGUACAACCAGGCCAGCUGCCGUGUGUGUCCACGGUUCAUACAGUCAAGGUGUUCGCUCAUCUCCCAAGAUGAGCCAGAACGAGCAUUACAAGAUGAACCCCCCAUAUUUUCCAUUCCUUGAUAAAUGGUCUAUAGGUGCACUUUUCCUAUUUGGGUUCAGAAGAUCACAGUCUAUAGGUGCUUGCUGAAUUCUAACCCUGUGCAAUCACAAAGCAUUUUAUCUUA
Molecule: long non-coding RNA, 644 nt
Organism: Triticum dicoccoides
Lineage: Eukaryota; Viridiplantae; Streptophyta; Magnoliopsida; Poales; Poaceae
Exons: 2
Source: RefSeq, a predicted model, not a curated record